UCUUUCAACUGUGCUUCCGUGACAAGGGUUUUGGUCUAUUCCCUAUCACAGCCUCCUUCCUCUCCCCACCAACACACCCCAGACUAUCAAAUAAACCUCAUAAAACUGAAGUCCAGGGCUGAAGGCACAACUCCAAAUGUACUCACAACAGUCGAGAACUGAAUGGACUAUUGGCUCCCUGGUUCCAGACUCCACAUUUCUGAUGUCUUACACCAAGGCUUAACAUUUCUGAUCAUCCAAUCACACUGAUUCAACCCAAAGUCAGAGUCAACCAAAAGCCCCCAUUCCAGUCCCCAUAUGCACCACUAUCACAUCUUCCCUUUAUGACCUGGCCCCUCCUGUCUUGCCCACAAUAAUUCAUGCCUCACCUUUUAGAUUCAUGUCAGACCAUGCCAUUUUGCGAUUCCACAUCAUGCUAUUUCACCUUCUGUGUCUUUUGGAUGUUGUCCCCUCUGCAAAGCUUUGCCGGACAGCCAGGUAAUCACUUCCCUAUUUUACCUUUGGACUGUGUAUACAUCAUCAUCAUAUAGUCACACAGCCAUACUAUUUGUUUAUACGUCUGCCUCUCUUUCUGAACCAUGAGCUUCACAAGGAUUUAAUCCUCUGGUGCCUAACUCAUGGGUACCUAGUAGUUCUUUUGUGAAGCUGUCUGUUGAGAUCAGCAGGAUCCUCUAUGCUGUCCUUUCCUAGAUGUUUCUUUUUUAAACCUUGACUAUGCACCUCUCCCUAAAAUGGUUCAUCUUGCUGGGUUUGGUCCUUUAUUCCAGGUUAAAUCCUUUGCAGAGUGAAUAGGAUACUAAUAUAUUAGUUUUGUGCCAUUUGCUUGCCUAACCUGUGAACCACCCAAAUCCUCAUUAAGCCAUUACUCACAAUACACAGCCCUGGAAAGCAUCAAGCAGAAACUUGGGGCAGGUACUAGAAAUCUGCCUAGGCCAAGAAGGAGAGGUCCAUCAGAAGGAAUUCAGUGGGGAUUACUCCUCCUUUGGGAUUACCUCAUCAGCAAAGUCCUUUUCUAGGUCCAAGUAAACGGUAUAGGUUUUGUUUCCACCCCAUUUCUCAUCUCGAAGGAUCACAAACUCUGUAAGACAAAGGAUCCAUGACAACAAACUCAUCAAUAAUGGCAGAGUCAGCAUUCCUAGCUCAAUGUUAUGGAUAUUUAGAGUUUUUGUUGUAUAUUUUAAACUUUAUUAUAUGGCAUUUUAUUGUUCUUAAAUCAGAUGAGCUAGCAACCCAGCGGCAUCCAAGCUCAAGGGAAAGGAUCGUGCAUUACAUUUCUUUCAUACUUCUCUAAUUCAGCAUGCCUGUGCCCACCCUCAUUUCUACAACCCCUGCCCACCCUAUCACCCUAUGUAGAGUAACCCAGUGACAAUCUCAUGGGCAAUGAAAUGAUAUCCCAACUGCAAAUGUACACUGGUGUAUUAGAAGUCAGAGCACAGAAUCAGGGAAGCCCAUCUCUGAAGGAAGACUCCUGACAAACCACAAGUAUGAUCACAAUACUAGUUUUGCUACUUUGGCCUGGCCUCUGGGAAGCAACCAAGGAGUGUCUUACCGGACUUGAGAGGAAAGAGGACAUGCUUGAUGAAAGACAAAACUCCAUUGUUCUCCACAUUUCCUGGCUCACAGAAGGCCUUCUUCAAUUUUUUCUUCACAUCUUCCUUCCGGUCAAGGAGAUCAAUCUUGGACUCCUAGAAGCCACGGAGGAGAAAGGACCUCUUAUGGAUUCUUUCCUUAAGCUACCUAAAACUGCUAGGCCCAAAACUAUUUUCUCAAAGGAGCAUACUAAUCGUUACUGCCCAAAACAGUGUGUGAGAGGACUUGCUACAUGGCAACCCCCAAUACCAGGUAUUGCUGAAGCUCAGCUGUGUUUGGGAAUCCAGAAUUCAACCUUUCACAUCUUUGGGUUCCACUAAGGCCCCCAUUCUGUACCCUUAGGGAUCAAAACAAAAGUGUACUUUUCCUAAGCAGGACUUUUAAAUGUUAAAAGAUACUGGAAAAAAAAAAAAAAAAAAAAAAAGAUAUUGCAGUUAUCAUAUUAGUUAUGUCAAA
This is a long non-coding RNA of Canis lupus familiaris (dog), 2046 nucleotides long. RefSeq lists it as uncharacterized. The transcript is spliced from 3 exons. The record is from RefSeq and is a predicted model, not a curated record. Lineage: Eukaryota; Metazoa; Chordata; Mammalia; Carnivora; Canidae.